RNAcentral lists this ribosomal RNA (254 nucleotides) under uncultured bacterium. Its description in RNAcentral is "partial 16S ribosomal RNA". It matches the Rfam family "Bacterial small subunit ribosomal RNA", at positions 524 to 776 of the family's 1533-position model. The record is from RNAcentral.
UACGUAGGGUGCGAGCGUUGUCCGGAAUUAUUGGGCGUAAAGAGCUCGUAGGCGGUGUGUCACGUCGGCCGUGAAAACCUGGGGCUUAACUCUGGGCGUGCGGUCGAUACGGGCAUCACUGGAGUUCGGCAGGGGAGACUGGAAUUCCUGGUGUAGCGGUGAAAUGCGUAGAUAUCGGUAGGAACACCAAUGGCGAAGGCAGCUUGCUGGCAUGUUUCUGACGCUAAGGCACGAAAGCGUGGGGAGCGAACAGG